RNAcentral lists this ribosomal RNA (484 nucleotides) under uncultured bacterium. RNAcentral's name for it is "partial 16S ribosomal RNA". It matches the Rfam family "Bacterial small subunit ribosomal RNA", at positions 30 to 507 of the family's 1533-position model. The record is from RNAcentral.
AUUGAACGCUGGCGGCAGGCCUAACACAUGCAAGUCGAGCGGAUGAAGGGAGCUUGCUCCUGGAUUCAGCGGCGGACGGGUGAGUAAUGCCUAGGAAGCUGACUGGUAGUGGGGGAUAACGUACGGAAACGGGAGCUAAUACCGCAUACGUCCUGAGGGAGAAAGGGGGGGAUCUUCGGACCUCACGCGAUCAGAUGAGCCUAGGUCGGAUUAGCUAGUUGGUGGGGUAAGGGCCUACCAAGGCGACGAUCCGUAACUGGUCUGAGAGGAUGAUCAGUCACACUGGAACUGAGACACGGUCCAGACUCCUACGGGAGGCAGCAGUGGGGAAUAUUGGACAAUGGGCGAAAGCCUGAUCCAGCCAUGCCGCGUGUGUGAAGAAGGUCUUCGGAUUGUAAAGCACUUUAAGUUGGGAGGAAGGGCAGUAAGUUAAUCCCUUGCUGUUUUGACGUUACCAACAGAAUAAGCCCCGGCUAACUUCGUG